Long non-coding RNA from Ictalurus punctatus (channel catfish), 5256 nucleotides. The record is from Ensembl. NCBI's taxonomy places the organism in Eukaryota, Metazoa, Chordata, Actinopteri, Siluriformes, Ictaluridae.
CUGCUGUUCUAGAAAAUUUAUCAACACCUUCUGACCAAUCAGAAUCGAGAAUUGCGCAGUGUUUCAGUGUAAAAUGUCUUAUAUUUAAUAAGUGCACAAAACAGGGUGUGCUGUUAUAGGAAAACAAUCAACUUGGUAUAAGUAACUCUGCUGUCAUUCAGUAUUCUUAGAGUGUUUUAUUCCUUAUUUAUCUGGCUCGGUCAAAAGCCUCAGGAUAUAAAGACGCGUUGAGUUUAUUUCUCAGAACACAAGGCACCGUUCCAUCAUCAACUUCCAUUUAUUAGUAUCAAACCACUGCUACAAAAUUACAUCAAACAGGAUGAAAAUGAAAUUGCAUACGUGCUAUUCACAAUGUAAACUUUAAAGUAAUUAAGGUAUAUGAGUUCUCAUUUUUUUUUUAUUGAUUUUUUGUAUUUUAUUUUUGUUCUUGACAAAUAUCAAUAUAUAUCAAUGCCACUUAAAGCCAUAUAUGUCAUUCCAGUGAUCUAGAGCCUAUAAAUAUACAACUAUUAUCCGUGGUGGCUAAAGAACCUCCAUAAACAUUAAGAUGACCAGUUCAAAUUUCUCAUCACAGAAGUUUUCAGCAUAGAAUGAUUCGGAAAACAACGUGAAAGCAAAAAUAAUAAUACUAAUAAUAAUAAUAAUAAUAAUAAUAAUAAUAAAAAUUAGGCCCCCGAAUAUGAGUUCAUGAUGUCCAUUCUAUACUUUCACCACCCUUCAUAAAGGAUUUUUACUUUUUUCUUUUUUAUUAUUAUCUUUUUUUUUUUAUAAAAUUAAACUAUAAAUAAAGUUAGCUCGUCGACGCUCAGGAACAGGGACAUGGACAUGAAGAACAGGAGUUUUCUAGCCUGAACAUCAAGGACUUUGAUUAUCAUCAUUGUGCUAUCGGUGUGAAAUAUGAAAUACAGGCAGGUGAUUUUGGCAAAAAAAUAAUAAUAAAUAAAUAAAUAAAAUCCAAAUGUUUUGAAUGUAGCGUGAUUAAAAAAAAAAAAAAACCACGGUGUUAUUUUGAUUGAAAUAGUAUCAGGGGUGGGAUGAGUCCAUUUUUGUCAAGAGGUCCGUGUGAGUACCUUAAACUUUUCCCCAAAUAUGAUGGUUGUAGAUUUUGGGGAGUGAAAGGAAUCAUAUUCGCUAGGUUCCGGUGGGAGGUUUGAGGAAUGGCGAUGCAUGUCGUGGUUAGAUCGACGCGAGCUCGCAGAAUGGAAUAUAAAAUGUGCACGCAUGAACUUAACAAUGAUAAUAAAAGAAAAAUAACGAUUAAUGGAGGGAUGAAAGAAAUGAUAAAAACGGCAAACACUGCUAAGUUCCGCGAGUAUAAAAUGCACACGUUUUGGGUCGAGGUCAUUAAUUUGGUAGUUCCUGGAAAAAUGAUGGUGCCUCGUGGUUGGUUGAAUAGUUAAGCGUUCGUAGCUUUCCGGAAGGGGUUCUUCUUUGACGUUGAGAUCUUUACCUUCCAGAGUUGUUCGAUUUGAAAGCCAUUCUAACAAGUCUAUAAAUAGUCUAGAGUGUUAAAAUGCGUGCAUUGGGGUUCCUGAGAGGAUCUUCUGAAGAAUUUAGGGAUUUUAGCUUCUUAAUAAGGAUCUAAUCGGAAGCCUCUCUGAUAGGAAAACACCUUUUAAGGGUUCCUCGAACGUAUAGUCGUAGUGGUGUAGAUGAAUGGAAAUUUCCGAUGGUCUUAAUAUGUGCAUCAAUCUCGUAGGCUCUACAUCGUACCCAACAAUCUACACACUCUCAGGAAUAGAAAGAUUACGCACUGGUUCUUUGGUGAGUUAAGCGGUCUAAUCUUUUCGUAAGGGUUGUAAGUGGAAAGCGCUUUGAAGAGAUCGUCCAAAACAACAAGCCUGACAGACUAGACUCAGUGAACAUCAAAAAUCAGUGCAUUUCUUCUGGAUAACGGAGGGAUAAAAAGAAAGGAUUCACAACUAGAAAAACUAUCUGGUUUAAAUUCAAAUGCUCUUCAUAUGUAUACAAGCUUUAGUGGAUCUUCAUCACUCUGUGGAGGGUUAAGGGCUCUUAGCUUUCAAAAGAGGUUUGACUUGGAAGCCAGUGGAACAAGCCAAAGAGUCCGGGGUGUAGAGUUGACGAAUAUCGAAAUCAUUUCUAUUGGAUGAUGGAAGGAUAAGAAAGAAAGGAUUAACGAGGGGAAGAGGAAACUAUAUGGUGUAAAUAUCUACUUUAGUGGCUCUACAUCAUUCCCACCAAUCUAUACUCUCUUGCAGACAAAGGGUUCCUAAUGGGUUCUUCUGGAAAGUGAAGCAAGCUUGGCUUUCUAAUAGGAUUCUACUUGAAAGCCUAUUUGAAGGGUUCCUCCACAGGAACCAGCCAAAGAGUCUUAAUGGGGAACCUUGUGGGUUCUUAUGGAGUGUUCCUAAGAGGGUUCAAGAGUAGAAUUCAAGCUUUCAUCCAACCAAAGAACCCCUUAAGGGAAUAUUUUUUCCCCCCAAAAAGGCUGUUUGGAAAGCACCUUUUAACGAACAAGCCAAAAGAGUCCAUUGAUAUUAAAAUCAGUGGAUUUCUAUUGGAUGAUGGAGAAAUAAAAUUGGUGCAAACGUAAUUUUGGAUGGUCUUCAUAUGUACACCAACUUUGCCGGCUCUAAAUCGUACCCACCAAUCUGUACACUCUUAGGGACAAAAGGGUUCCUCACCGGUCGUUCUGAAGAGUUAACAGCUUCCUAAAAUUAGUUUAAGAUUCCCUUCAAUUAAAGAAACCUCAAACGGAAAGCAUGUGGGAUAAGAUGUUGGGGGGUGGGGUGGGGAGGGGACUAAUGUGUAAAAAGCUCAGGAGUAAUUUGAGAAUUUAAUCAUUUCAGCUUGAAGGCUGAUGAGAUGCAAGUGUUCGGAAGAAGCAAGAUGAAUAACUGAGCUGAAACGGAGACGUUUUGGUUAGUUCUGGAUUGAAACUCGUUCCGAAAGAGAAAUGUGUACAAACUUGCAAGGAGGAAUGUAAAAAAAAAAAAAAAAAACGAAAAAAGAGAAAAGACUUUGGCUAAUUUUGACUUGCAUCCUUAAAAAAAUUAAAUAAAUAAAAACGAACAGAUAAGACACAGUUCUCUAAUUGAAGUAAAUCUGGAGAUAACACUUAGCGCUUCAUCAUCAGAAAGCGUUUCAUGUCCGAGUGUUUAACGCAUCCGGGCACGUUCCCAAUCCCGUCCUGCUAAGACCGUCGCGAAAUAGAGCACUCGAUGAGACUUAAGAGUGCUCCUCGACACGUCCACUUUAGUAGAACCCCGAACUAUCUUUAUAAACCUGCAGUUCAUCCUGUACUCUGCACCGACAUGGUCGCCGCGAUGUCUCGGCCUCGUCGGUUUCACACUGAUAUGAGCGCUGUAUGAAUACCUAUUGCUUUAUCAAGUACGCUGCACCGUCGCCAGCCUGGAUAACAUUUUCUAGCUCACUGAGAAUAGAAAUAGACUGGUGAGUCGACAAAGUGUCAGGGUUCGAAUAAAGAUGUUCAGGAGCCGUACUUUAUAUAUAACGGCAACACGAACGUGACAUUAUGGUAAAACCUGUAAACCGUCCGCAGUUUGAUGGAUUCAGUGGAAAUGAUUUGAACUAUAUGUCAUGACGGGCCACUGAAAAAGGACAGGGGUUUAACCUACACUAGUAGAGCUGCAAUUUCUUCUUCUUCUUCUUCUUCUCCUGUGAUGCGCUGGAUUCAGUCGGAGUGCUGCUGGGAGAAUGAAUGCUCAUGGUCGGUGAAGGUAGCAGCCCUGCAGCACUCCAUAAAAUCCCACCAUCAAAAUCUAACAAAGGCACGGGAAGGACUUUAUUAACCGCUGGGUCAAACGAAUCAUCCCCUUCCUGCUCAUAGAGACAGCACUCUAAAAAAAUAAAGCCGUUUUUGAAAGAUGGCAGGGGUUGAGAGGUGACCGGGGUGUUAAAAGCUGCACAGUGAAAGCUCAGCUCGACUAAGACAGGGGCGUUAACCGGCGGUCCGGAUAAGAAACCCGGCAAAGCAUUUCAGAAGAGCGAACUUAAUACUGGAGUAGAAGUACGAUAGUACUUCAUAUAAAAUACUGGAGUAGAGCGGAAAAAAAUAAAAUAAAUAAAUAAAUAACGUGAUAAAAACUAGUGACUGGUUUUCUAAACACGUCCCAAACUCAGGAUCUCUAUCGGACCCUGUUUUGCAGUUUUUAGCCAAUCACAUGCAUUUCUGUCAGUUAUUGUGCUUCAGGUAGCGACUAGGUAUCAGACCAGAGACUAGCUACGGGGAUAGAUAUUAUAUCAGUAAGGGAAGACUUUUUUUUUUACAGAAUUUUCGUUGUAUUUACCCUCUCUGGUCUGAUUAGUGAGACAAAAAAAAAAACCAAAACAAGCAAAACUGAAUUUUUAAAGGUGAAGACACAAUGAAGUAUACGUUUAUUUUCAUGUAUGUCAUCUGUUCAGAGUCCCGGGCACUAGUUAAAAGCGUUAACGUGAAACUAGGAAACAAAACAAGCACUUCCCGUUGUUUUAUUUAUAGCCACGCGAUAAAAGCUUUUGCUGAAGAAGUAAAAACAACAACAACAACAACAACAACAACAACAACAAAAAAAAAACCCUGUUGUCAUCAUUUCUGUUCAUGGUGUCAGUUCUUCGUACGUCCCUUCAUACGCGACUAAUCUUACCUAACUUGCUAACGUGAGUUUCUGUUUUAUUUAUUUAUUUAUUUUCUGGAAGAUGCGAUAAGUAUAGCGUGGAAGCCGCAAACGCCACAAUGAGACGAUGGACAUAACGCGUCAUUAUGACAUACUGCAGGUACGAAACACAGCUAAGGCUUUCAUUUCCUAACGGGUAAACUCCCGUUCAAGUGCCGAACCGCUUCCCGCGUGGGAGCGGUUCGAAAACGACUACACGUCAUGUCCUUUUACGAAGCCUCAGAUUCGGCGUGUAGAGGGCGUAGAGUCGUAUUCCUCUCCAGUCGGGUCUCGGAUCGAAGACGGGAAAGUGGUAAACCGCGUGAUGGAUUGAACGGGAAAUAAUCCUUGGUUAUCCGUGUGGAAGUGUAGUUAUCAAGUCAUUCGAUGUUGUAAAUUCGCAGCACUUGUUAUUUACAUCCUGGUUUUAGUUUUAUUUAUUUUUUUUUAAAAAAGCUGUAAGUUUUUUCAUUUCUAUAAUUCUGCAUGCAUGAGUAAUUCCUGACCGGUGUUUUCUUUUAACUCGAGAUCCACUUAGGCAACGUUAAUGAAGUCUGCAUCGAUCUCCUACUCUCUGAAUAUUUAUGGAAAAAGAGUUUGUGCCAAAAUUCAUGAUAUAUUUACGAUGGAUAAAUCUGGA